This 253-nucleotide ribosomal RNA is filed under the name uncultured bacterium. RNAcentral's name for it is "partial 16S ribosomal RNA". It matches the Rfam family "Bacterial small subunit ribosomal RNA", at positions 524 to 776 of the family's 1533-position model. The record is from RNAcentral.
UACGUAGGGUGCAAGCGUUGUCCGGAAUUAUUGGGCGUAAAGAGCUCGUAGGCGGUCUGUCGCGUCGGCUGUGAAAACCCGAGGCUCAACCUCGGGCCUGCAGUCGAUACGGGCAAACUAGAGUACUGCAGGGGAGACUGGAAUUCCUGGUGUAGCGGUGAAAUGCGCAGAUAUCAGGAGGAACACCGGUGGCGAAGGCGGGUCUCUGGGCAGUAACUGACGCUGAGGUACGAAAGCCAGGGGAGCAAAAGGG